Molecule: small nuclear RNA, 104 nt
Organism: Ailuropoda melanoleuca (giant panda)
Lineage: Eukaryota; Metazoa; Chordata; Mammalia; Carnivora; Ursidae
Source: Ensembl
AUGCUCAUUUUGGCAGUACAAAUACUAUAAUUGGAAUGAUACAGAGAUUGGCAUGGCCCCAGUGCAAGGAUGACCUGCAAAUUUGUGAAGUGUUCCAUAUUUAA